AUGGAGGUCUCAGCCAGGCUCCGCCCGCCAUCUCCCGCCUCGACGGCGCCGCCCCGCCGCGGCGGAGGGUACCUAUGGCGGCUGCUCCCUUCGGCCCGGCCCGCCUCCCGAGCGGUCUCCGCCAAGGUGCUUCCCAGUGCAGAGCCUCACCACUCUCCAGCCGCCGCACCCCUCUCUCCCCUCUCCUCCCAAUGGCGGCCGCGCCCGCCCCCGCCCCCGCGAGCUUCGGCUGUUGGCGCCGCCUCCUCGCAGCGCCGCUUCUUCUUCCUCCUCUCAACUCUCUCGGCCUUAUUCUCAUUACUGAAUAUGACAUAUAUAUACACAACGGCGACGCGUUCCGCCUGGGCUUCGUCGGCGUGGGGAACCUGGCCGAGAGCAUCGCGCGGGGCGUCACGGCGUCGGGCGUCCUCCCGGGCCUCCGCCGUCCGCACCGCGCCCCACCGCCGCCCCGAGCGCGGCGCCGCCUUGGCCUCCCUCGGCGCCACCAUCCUCGCAUCCAACGCCCAGGUUGUCGACGACAGCGAUGUGAUCGUCAUCUCCGUCAAGCCCCAGAUUGUGAAGCAGGUUCUGGUUGAGCUCAAGCCCUUGUUGUCUGAAGAAAAGCUUCUGAUCUCCAUUGCCGCUGGCAUCAAAAUGAAAGAUUUGCAGUACUAUGAAAUAUCAGAGCUAUUCUGUUCUAGCCCUCCUAUCUUUAAUUCCUGGCUGCUGGACUACCUACAGGACAACGAGUUCAUCUGCGGCAGCUAUCGCUGUGAGCAGUCCGUCCACGACGCGCUCCGCAGCGUCUUCGCCGGGCACAACAAGAUCCUCAACGUCUGGAAGGAUAAAGUGGAGAAAAAGAAGAAAAGAUUACUAGAAGAUUAG
This 864-nucleotide ribosomal RNA is filed under the name Triticum aestivum (bread wheat). RNAcentral describes it as "partial small subunit ribosomal RNA". The record is from RNAcentral. Lineage: Eukaryota; Viridiplantae; Streptophyta; Magnoliopsida; Poales; Poaceae.